GAUGAAGAACGUAGCGAAAUGCGAUAAGUAGUGUGAAUUGCAGAAUUCAGUGAAUCAUCGAAUCUUUGAACGCACAUUGCGCCCUUUGGUAUUCCAAAGGGCAUGCCUGUUCGAGCGUCAUUUGUACCCUCAAGCUUUGCUUGGUGUUGGGCGUCUUGUCUCUAGCUUUGCUGGAGACUCGCCUUAAAGUAAUUGGCAGCCGGCCUACUGGUUUCGGAGCGCAGCACAAGUCGCACUCUCUAUCANNAAAGGUCUAGCAUCCAUUAAGCCUUUUUUUCAACUUUUGACCUCGGAUCAGGUAGGGAUACCCGCUGAACUUAAGCAUAUCAAUAAGCGGAGGA
This 341-nucleotide unclassified non-coding RNA is filed under the name soil metagenome. Its description in RNAcentral is "partial contains 5.8S ribosomal RNA, internal transcribed spacer 2, and large subunit ribosomal RNA". The stretch from base 1 to 120 matches the Rfam family "5.8S ribosomal RNA", at positions 35 to 154 of the family's 154-position model. The record is from RNAcentral.